RNAcentral lists this ribosomal RNA (464 nucleotides) under uncultured bacterium. Its description in RNAcentral is "bacterial SSU rRNA". It matches the Rfam family "Bacterial small subunit ribosomal RNA", at positions 32 to 507 of the family's 1533-position model. The record is from RNAcentral.
AAUCAACGCUGGCGGCGUGCCUCAGACAUGCAAGUCGAACGAUUAAAGCUCUCUUCGGAGAGUGUAUAGAGUGGCGCACGGGUGAGUAACACGUAAGUAAUCUACCCUCGAGUGGGGAAUAACAACCGGAAACGGUUGCUAAUACCGCAUAAUGCAGCGGCACCGCAAGGUGACAGUUGUUAAAGAUUUAUCGCUUGAGGAGGAGCUUGCGGCAGAUUAGCUAGUUGGUAGGGUAACGGCUUACCAAGGCUACGAUCUGUAACCGGUCUAAGAGGACGGUCGGUCACACUGACACUGAAUAACGGGUCAGACUCCUACGGGAGGCAGCAGUCGGGAAUUUGGGCAAUGGGCGAAAGCCUGACCCAGCAACGCCGCGUGAAGGAUGAAGUAUUUCGGUAUGUAAACUUCGAAAGAAUAGGAAGAAUUAAUGACGGUACUAUUUAUAAGGUCCGGCUAACUACGUG